Molecule: RNA transcript, 1694 nt
Organism: Spinacia oleracea (spinach)
Lineage: Eukaryota; Viridiplantae; Streptophyta; Magnoliopsida; Caryophyllales; Amaranthaceae
Gene name: probable GTP-binding protein OBGM, mitochondrial
Exons: 7
Source: RefSeq, a predicted model, not a curated record
UCCCGCGUGGGAAAAGAAAAAGUCAGAUGUAUUUAACCUCUUUCCUUUCAUAGCUGUCAAUUUACAGAUUUACUAUAUUCUAUGCAAAAAUCACGGAAUUUUUUUUCACAUUCCAAAGAAUCAAACUAUUCAUCUUCUUCACCAUCUUUAGUGCCCAAAUUAGGCAUUUUCCAAUUUUCAACAGUCUAAAUAAUAAUGGAAUCAACUCAUCCCCUUCAGUUUCUUCAAUUCUCUGAUUUCGGUGCUCGUACUCUCCAAAUUAAAUCCAUGGCAACGGGAAAUAUUCAGCAAUCCUUCGAUCUAUUUCCCUUUUCUGUUUGUUCUCACUUCUCACUCAAAUAAUUAACGGAAGAAAUUUUAUGGUUGAGGAUUCUUAAUUGUCGGAAUUGCAUAAGCAGCUCUUAAUAUUGUCGCAUUGCAUAAGAUUCAAGAGCUAGGUUUCAGGAAAGACAACCAUUGGCGAACUCAUGGACGAACUCACCACCACCGGCGAAUUGCACUACCACCGGAGAACUACCGUACCAUCGGCGACCUCACCAUCGUUGCUAGCGAACUACAAAUUUAGGUUACUUCAAUAGAAAAGGCUGAAUAUGAGAAAAUCUUAAAAGGCGCUGACAACAGAAGAUAGUACCAAUCUGUCUCGUUCGGCAAAAGGCUACAAUCAUAAGUUUGCUGGUAUUGCUAGUUUCUUGAAUCCAAUCAUCCAUUUUACCUAUCAAGGUGUGAUUUCUUUAACUAGCUUAGGUGAGCAAAAUCUUCUGACCUUCGUUCUCCUCUUUCAUUCUAAUUUACUAUAAUUUUAUUUCAAGAGCGUAGAAUGGCUGACCGGUUUAGAUUGCAUGUUAAGGGAGGUGACAGUGGAAGUGGGAAUGGAAGUUUGUGACGUAGUUGAACUGAUCGGUAUGGCAAGCCUGAUGGUGAAAAGGCGGUGAUGUGAUUAACAUCGUAUUCUAUGUAUCUGCUAUUGCUGUAUUUUAGGUCAUGGAACAAUUAAUUCAUUCAUUAUAGAUGAUAUCCUUGUGGCUAAUUUGCAGAAUGGACGAUGGGGUGGGCAUGGUACUUCAAAGAAUAAGAUCGGCAGCCGUGGAGAAGACAAGGUUGUGCAAGUUCCUGUUUCUACUGCUAUCUAUUUUGUGGAGAGUGAAAUCCCUUCAAUAGUGGAGAAGUCAUCUUCUGUGAUUCACCCUUGGGAUGGUAUUUUUACUUCUGAUCUCCUUGCAUCUGAUCAGCUAUCCACUUUUAGUUUGUGGGAGCCGGAUAUGGAUUAGGUUGAGGAAAAAUGUUUAAACCAACAACAAUUUAGUGAGAUCAUCAUGCAUCAUUAGAUCUGAUACAAUGUAAGCUCCUGAUAAGAGAAGGUUUUUUCUCACUUGUUUAAGUGAAUUGCAUCUGCAGCAUGGUACACUUCACAUACUUGAUUCCUUUCCCUUCAGCUUCUUGUAAGACUGUCCAUUCUUUGUGAUGUGUGGUAAACACCAUACCUCAUCAUCCAAAGACGUAUUUUCUUUCUUUUGAUAAGCUGAAUGAGCAAAUUAACUUACUCAGCAGCUACAAAGGAUACAGAAGACAAGACGAGACACCAAAUCCAAGUAAACACAAAGACAAGACACCAAAUUUUGCUCCCUUCCAAACACAUAAAGUUUUCUCAAGAAACUUAUUCAUCGGAAAAUGUGGAUGAGGUUAGAGACGUGUGG